RNAcentral lists this transfer RNA (72 nucleotides) under Phrynosoma platyrhinos (Desert horned lizard). Its description in RNAcentral is "tRNA-OTHER". The record is from RNAcentral. Lineage: Eukaryota; Metazoa; Chordata; Lepidosauria; Squamata; Phrynosomatidae.
ACCAGUGUGGCAUAGUGGUUUGAGUGUUGGACUGCGACUCUGGAGAUCAGGGUUUGAUUCCUUGCUCAGUCA